Molecule: ribosomal RNA, 402 nt
Filed under: bacterium
Lineage: Bacteria
Description: partial 16S ribosomal RNA
Rfam family: Bacterial small subunit ribosomal RNA
Source: RNAcentral
UGGGGAAUUUUGCACAAUGGGGGAAACCCUGAUGCAGCGACGCCGCGUGAUUUAGAAGGCCUUCGGGUUGUAAAAAUCUUUUCUAUGGGAAGAAAAUGACAGUACCAUAGGAAUAAUGACCGGCUAAUUACGUGCCAGCAGCCGCGGUAAUACGUAAGGUCCGAGCGUUGUCCGGAAUCAUUGGGCGUAAAGGGUACGUAGGCGGGUAAGCAAGUUAGAAGUGAAAUCCUAUAGCGCAACUAUAGUAAGCUUUUAAAACUGCUCAUCUUGAGGUAUGGAAGGGAAAGUGGAAUUCCUAGUGUAGCGGUGAAAUGCGAAGAUAUUAGGAGGAAUACCGGUGGCGAAGGCGACUUUCUGGCCAUAACCUGACGCUGAGGUACGAAAGCGUGGGUAGCAAACAGG